Vicugna pacos (alpaca) is the source of this 2003-nucleotide non-coding RNA. Lineage: Eukaryota; Metazoa; Chordata; Mammalia; Artiodactyla; Camelidae. The record is from RefSeq and is a predicted model, not a curated record.
UCUAAGCACUUCCUGUGGACGUAAUCACCUAUGCCUUACAGCCCAGAUGGGAGUGUAUCAGAUUCCUUAUUGCGGCUGUAACAGAUAACCGUAAAUUCAGUGGCUUAAAACAACACACACUCCUCUGUCAGCUCUGCAGGUUGGACAGGGCUGAAAUCACGGUGCAGGCAGGGCCCCACUCCUGCUGGAGGCUCCAGGGGAGGGUCCUUCCUGCCUCUUCCAGCUUCUGGGGCUCCAGCUGUUUCCUGGCUUGUGGCCACAACACCCCAAUCCUGCCUGCUCCUCGGCCGUGUUCAGAUCUCCCUGUGCCUCUGUCUAGUGAGGACACUUGGGUAAUCCCAGAUAAUCUUCCUGUUUCAGGAUCCUUAACCCCAUCACGUCUGCAGAGCCCCUUCUGCCAAGGAUGGCGAUGCAUUCACAGGUUGGGAGGAUCAGAGCGCAGAAGUCUUGGGGACUGUCACUCAGCUGGUCACAGGGAGACACUGCUGUUCUGUCUGGAGGGCACAGUGCUUGGAGGGGAGGCCAGAGCCCAGGGACUCCAUAGGGCUGGCCCAGGGUGGUGAUAUUUGCUGCAGCUGACCCUCGGGCUGGCCUCUGUGUGGCCGAGGCCCCUGGUGCCAACACUCCCUAUUGUGAGCAUGUGCCUAGGGGGUUCCAGAGCACGCCUGCAUUCACUGGUUUUGUCCUGCUCUGCACGCUUGGGUGGGAACGGGCCACAGCUCAGCUCUGACUCCCGGGGUCAUGGGCGUGUUCACUGCACAGCCAUCUCCACCCCAGCACCCCCAGAGGGAGGGGUGUGGGGUUCCAGGGUGGGAAGGAAGUUACGGUCCUCCCAGGGUGCCUGGCACCCCUUAUAGGUACUGGGCUUCCUGAUGAACGCUAGCCUGACUGAGAUGUGGGGUGGGCUGUCCACAACCUGCUGUUCGUCUUUCCCACGGCAGAAGCAUCGUUACCCUGCUGCAGACUCACUGGAACAAAAAUGUAAUUGCUCUGCCUUUAAGAAGCUGCUGCUGGGUUGGGAGAAAUGCAGGCUCAGCGGCUGCCAAUGAAGGACUUAAUUAAGCAGAAUAGGCAAGGAUGUGGCGAGAGGGUGGCCAUCUGCAAACCAGGAAGAUGUCCCUCACAAGGAACUGAAUCUUUUGGCACCUGGAUCUCAGAUGUCCAGCCUCCAGGAUGGUGAGAAAUAAAUGUCUGCGGUUUAAGCUGCAGCCUAUGGCACUUCGUUAUGGCCAGCUGUGCUGACGAAGACGUUCGUGGGGGCAGAUGAGGAAACAGGUGGGAGCCGACAGGGAACGUGCCCAAGGGCACAACAGGAAUUCAAACCCAGCCCGCCUGAAUCCAGAGACCUCGCUCCAGCCCGGGCCAGUCUGGAGUCCAACAGCCCCCCACAACCCAGGCUGGGGGCCAUCCCGGAGCGGGGAGACUCUGCCGGCGCACCUGGGCGAGGAGGCUUUAAGAGUUAGGAGGGAGAAGGCUGGCGACCAUUGCUAAGAAUCUUUCCCGGCGAAAUACCCGUAAAAUAGCCAAGAAACCCAUGAUUUACAGCUUAAUGGCAGAAUGCGAUAGAGCGGGACUGACAGGUCUCACCCGUGGGAGGCACGCUUGUCCCCGAAGGAGUGUGCUCAGCCCUGCUGAGCCUGCAGGUCCCUGCCGGGAGGGGUGGGCUUUGAGGGGUGGGACCCCACGGCCAAGGCCACCUGCUGCCCCUUCCUCCAACGAAGAACAGCUUCUGAGCUCUGGCUUCUCUGAGCUGAAACAGACUUCCUGCUUCUGUCCACACCCUGCUGGGAGCUUCCAGAGUGUAGCCAGGUCCCUCCAAGGAGGGGCCCUGGCUCCCCCGCCGGGCUCUGGCCCCCUCUGCCAGGCUGUCCCCAAGGUGCGGCAGGGUGAGAGGAGGUCGCUGGGGCUGGCGGUGUCAUGUUGGGGCUGGGGCUGUUUAUGUCAGCUGGCCGACGGCGCCUUCCCACACCACUCGGACCCAGUGGGACAUCCAGUGGGCAUCU